Molecule: ribosomal RNA, 465 nt
Filed under: Vreelandella stevensii
Lineage: Bacteria; Pseudomonadati; Pseudomonadota; Gammaproteobacteria; Oceanospirillales; Halomonadaceae
Description: partial 16S ribosomal RNA
Rfam family: Bacterial small subunit ribosomal RNA
Source: RNAcentral
CCUACGGGGGGCUGCAGUGGGGAAUAUUGGACAAUGGGGGCAACCCAGAUCCAGCCAUGCCGCGUGUGUGAAGAAGGCCCUCGGGUUGUAAAGCACUUUCAGUGAGGAAGAACGCCUGGUGGUUAAUACCCAUCAGGAAAGACAUCACUCACAGAAGAAGCACCGGCUAACUCCGUGCCAGCAGCCGCGGUAAUACGGAGGGUGCGAGCGUUAAUCGGAAUUACUGGGCGUAAAGCGCGCGUAGGUGGCUUGAUAAGCCGGUUGUGAAAGCCCCGGGCUCAACCUGGGAACGGCAUCCGGAACUGUCAAGCUAGAGUGCAGGAGAGGAAGGUAGAAUUCCCGGUGUAGCGGUGAAAUGCGUAGAGAUCGGGAGGAAUACCAGUGGCGAAGGCGGCCUUCUGGACUGACACUGACACUGAGGUGCGAAAGCGUGGGUAGCAAACAGGAUUAGAUACCCCGGUAGUC